GAUGAACGCUGGUGGCGUGCUUAACACAUGCAAGUCGAACGGGAAACCUUUUAUUGAAGCUUCGGCAGAUUUAGCUAGUUUCUAGUGGCGGACGGGUGAGUAACGCGUGGGUAACCUGCCUUAUACAGGGGGAUAACAACCAGAAAUGGUUGCUAAUACCGCAUAAGCGCACAGGACCGCAUGGUCCGGUGUGAAAAACUCCGGUGGUAUAAGAUGGACCCGCGUUGGAUUAGCUAGUUGGCAGGGUAACGGCCUACCAAGGCGACGAUCCAUAGCCGGCCGGAGAGCGUGAACGGCCACAUUUGGACUGAGGCACGGCCCAGACUCCUACGGGAGGCAGCAGUGGGGAAUAUUGCACAAUGGGGGAAACCCUGAUGCAGCGACGCCGCGUGAAGGAAGAAGUAUCUCGGUAUGUAAACUUCUAUCAGCAGGGAAGAUAGUGACGGUACCUGACGAAGAAGCCCCGGCUAACUACGUG
Molecule: ribosomal RNA, 478 nt
Filed under: uncultured bacterium
Lineage: Bacteria
Description: partial 16S ribosomal RNA
Rfam family: Bacterial small subunit ribosomal RNA
Source: RNAcentral